This 253-nucleotide ribosomal RNA is filed under the name uncultured bacterium. RNAcentral's name for it is "partial 16S ribosomal RNA". It matches the Rfam family "Bacterial small subunit ribosomal RNA", at positions 524 to 776 of the family's 1533-position model. The record is from RNAcentral.
UACGAAGGGGGCUAGCGUUGUUCGGAUUUACUGGGCGUAAAGCGCACGUAGGCGGUUUGUUAAGUGAGAGGUGAAAUCCCAGAGCUCAACUCUGGAACUGCCUUUCAUACUGGCAAGCUAGAGUCCGGAAGAGGUAAGUGGAACUCCUAGUGUAGAGGUGGAAUUCGUAGAUAUUAGGAAGAACACCAGUGGCGAAGGCGGCUUACUGGUCCGGAACUGACGCUGAGGUGCGAAAGCUAGGGGAGCAAACAGG